RNAcentral lists this transfer RNA (72 nucleotides) under Marmota monax (woodchuck). Its description in RNAcentral is "tRNA.Ala". The record is from RNAcentral. Lineage: Eukaryota; Metazoa; Chordata; Mammalia; Rodentia; Sciuridae.
GAGGAUGUAGCUCAAGCGGUAGCGCGCUCACCUGGCAUGCGCGGGGUGCUGGGUUUGAUCCUCAGCACCACA